This 2804-nucleotide unclassified non-coding RNA is filed under the name Leishmania donovani. RNAcentral describes it as "gene:LdHU3.32.2430(CDS-product:rab11B_GTPase_puta tive)". Lineage: Eukaryota; Euglenozoa; Kinetoplastea; Trypanosomatida; Trypanosomatidae. The record is from RNAcentral.
GUUUUGGUCUGCUUCUACUGGAGGAGCUCAACGCCCACGCAUACACCCACUCAACACAGAAGUGGCCCUACCCUGCGCGCACACGUCCCGUAGACUCACAGAAAGAAAGAGGCGGUGGUGGCGAGGAGCGGUGACGCACCGCAUUUUCAUCCUCGCGCGUGCUUUUGUGUGCUGUUGCUUGUAAAGCGAAACACAGGCACAUGCACACACACACGCACACACACACACACACACACACACACACACACACAGAGGGGGAGAUAUGCAAACUGCACACGCACACACCAUGACGGCACAAAUGAAGGUAUUGAAGCCGAAGACCGUCUUCGACAACCGCCCUGAUGAGGCUCGCAAGCCCAUCAAGCUCAUCUUGCUCGGCGAUAGCGCGGUGGGCAAGUCAAAGCUGGUAGAGCGCUUCCUGAUGCAGCGGUACAUCCCAGUGCAGAUGUCCACCUACGCCCUCACCCUGUACCGCUACGACUUCGUGACAGAAGACGGCGAGGAGGUCGACGUGGACAUUUGGGACACCGCCGGGCAGGAGCGCUUUGCCACGGUUCACCCGAGCUACUAUCACGACGCACACGCGUGUAUCCUCGUGUUUGACAGCACACGCAAGGCGACCUACAAAAACUUAGAAAAGUGGCUCUCCGAGAUGCGCGUCUACCGGGAGCACAUUCCGUGCCUUGUAGCGUGCAACAAGAUCGACACCGAUCCGUCUGUUACAACGAAGAGUUUUGCUUUUGCGGAGAAACACAACUUUCCGCUGUACUACGUCUCCGCUGCUGACGGCUCCAACGUGGUGCAGCUCUUCGAAAGCGCCAUUUCCACGGCGGCCGCGUACAAGAAGAAUCCCGCAAAGGACGACUUCAUGACGCAGGUGAUCGGCAUUCUGAAGGAGGACAAGACAGCCGCGGGUGCCUCCGCAGUGUCAUCGUAGAGCGCGAAAACAGAAGAGCAGGAGCACUGGAAGCGUUCUUUUUCACAGUGUUUCUUUUUUGGUGCGCUGACACAGACAAGCCACAGCUCUCUGCGGUAUGCUCUAUGAGGUACUUGUUCGGGGCGCACAUCCAUCGCCGUGCCUGAUGUACCUCAGCCUCCGUGCGGACAUGAACAUUGCCUACCAAAUAGUGCUCUUCGUUUGCGCGGCCGACGAUUGUGACGGUGCAGGCGGCUGUUAUAUGUGUGUGUGUGAAUUACACGGCAAUGGCGUCUUCGAAGUGCGACUGCGGCUCGUAAGCGUCUGCUACAUGAACGCACGGGGAUCCUCUACCCUUAGGCGGUUCGUGCCUUGUAUGAUAGGGGGUUCACGUUGCAGUAGGUGGACUCCCCUCUCCUAGUUCACAGAAUACGUUGCAGAUCAUCCCGUCUCUACGGUUCUGUGGAUGCUCGUCUCCGGGAUUCUGUGCUAUUCACAUCAUCAUUAUUCAAGUUUCCCUUGUCUUGAUGUUGUCUUACUUAUGGAGGCGACAAGGGAACGCUGAAAUUUCUUGUGUGAAUAACGCUUAUACAUAUAUAUAUGUUUGCUUGGCGAGGCGAAGCAGCUGCGUCCGAUGCUGUGCAAUCUCCCCAGUUGGACUGCGAGCCGUUUUCCUGCCUCUUGCCAUCUCUCUCUCUCUCUGAUGCGGCUGAUGGACUAUAUAUAUGGGCUGAUUUCUUCGCGUCUUUCGGCCGCAGUGUUCUUCCCUUUAGAAGUUGUUGUAGUGCGCAUGCUUGUUUAUGUAAAUGCGUAUGAGAUGUGGUGAUCUAGACUGCUGUUACAUCCCUUGUUGCGAUCAGUGUAUGCUAGAUGUGCUGAGCCGAGCCUACAUUUUUUUUCCGUUUGUUUGUUUGUGUGCCUCUGGGCUUUUUCAUGUACUGUUUUCUUUUUCUUUUGGUGUUCCUGUCUGCGGAGCGCCCUGUGACUCCUCCUCUGACUUGUGUGCUUCUCCCAUCGAUGCCGGCAUAGGGGCUCCGCUUAAAGACAGACACCCAUGUACGGAACACGAGGCCCAUGUUCGCGCCCAAUGGGUACAGGGUGGCCGAAAAGGCCAAUUACGGCUUGUUAUUAUUAUUAUUUAAAUUGGGCAAAUACUGCGCACUGAAGGCCUUCAACGGAUGAGGGCAUUGUAAGAAGGAUGAGGAAGAUUGUGGCCGGUUGGUUGGUGGGUCGGUGCGGGGACACCCGAGUGGGCAUUGCACCCCUCGAGCCUCCGUUUCCAUCCCUCUUUCUACCGCCCUCUCUCUCUCUCGCAGUCUCUCGACUUGUGUGUGAUGCCCUUGCUUUCGAGCUUCUUGGUUCGCUACGAAGUACGGACUUCUGUGGCCUGUUCGCUUCCUCUCUUCUCCCCAGCUGCCUAUCCGUUUUCAGGGCUUUUCUGUUUUGUUCUCGUUGUUCCUCCUUGUCUUGUCGAUUUCCUUCGGUGCGCUUUUUUUUUUCGGUGCUUUGCCUUUUUUUUUUCGUGCUCGUUUCGCCCUCCCUUCCCUCCCUCCGUGCGCGUGUGUGGAAAGUCGCCGUGCGCAGGGCGGUCUUUCUCUGCUGCAGUCGUCUGGAGUCCGUGCACGGACACGGUGCAGCUACACGGACGCAAAAGAAGGGCACACGCACGCAUGUCAGGAGCCCGCCGCCCUCCCCCUCUCCUCUCCUCCCUAACGAAAAAAAAAGGAAAAGGAAAGAGGGAGGGGGUGGGGAAAGUGCUGAGUGAAACGCCGAGGGACCUCAGCAAAAUGCCUGAGCGUGGUGCGAUGUCCAACAAACGACCUCUUUCUACUGAUACUCGUGAGCCAGCCGCAGGCCCCUCUGUGCACGCCAUCAGCGCCACGAAAUG